RNAcentral lists this long non-coding RNA (223 nucleotides) under Capsicum annuum. Its description in RNAcentral is "long non-coding RNA (CANN_LNC020858)". Lineage: Eukaryota; Viridiplantae; Streptophyta; Magnoliopsida; Solanales; Solanaceae. The record is from RNAcentral.
AGCAAACUUGUUGAGGAGACGAAUUAUGGUAGAGGGUUAGUUAGGUAGUUGAGGGUAGACCAAUUCUUGUUGUUCAUAGAUAUAGGUUUAUUGAUGUCUGUCGUAUUCUUAUAAUUCUUGCUUUUCAUAUCUAUCAUCGUAUGUUAUUUAUUUUUCCUUUCAAGUAGCAUAUUAUUUUGUGUUGUUAGUGUUGUUGUAUUAAUUUCUUUGUUUUUUUGACGGG